GAAUGUAAUGGAAAUACUGCAGAGAGGGUUCAUCCCCUACCCCCAUCCAUCUGCCUCUGACGCUGUGGGACAACAUAACACUGGGAACUUCUGAAGAUUUGAACAUCACUCUGAAAGGCUAAGAGUCAUCCUUCAGAGGUCUCUGCAGCCCCACCAACUCGAUUUGGCUUUCUGCACAGGAACAGCCUCCACUGGAGUGACUGGGAGAAGAUCCAGAAGCAGAAGAUCUUCUCUGGUUCUUCUCUGAUCCACAAGCACCCCUCGGCAAUGCUGUGGAGCUGAGAAGCCUCCCGCAGGAUUUCAGGAGCAAGUAUUCUUGCAGGGAAGAGAGGGAGGGAUAAUCUUACUAGCUAGGAUGUAGAUGUUCAAUACUGUGGAUUUCACACUGGGAAAACCUGCAUGGACUUUGAUGUGUGCUCUCUAUUUGGAGUGAAUUUAUCGCUUGAUAGAAGUUGUGAAAUGGUUUUACUUCUGACUGUGGAUGCUACUUAUACUUGCAGUUCCAGCAGGUUUGAAAGCAGACUAUUCUCCCUAUAGGCCAACAAAACAAUUCAGGGGGAUUCGGUGGAGUUUUUUCUCAGUUUUGAUUUGGCUGAAUCGCCGCGUGAAGCUUCAGCUUUCAUCUUCUGCUCACACUUGGCGAAGCAGCAGCAGAACUCCUUGCUCAGUAUGUGUGUCAGAGCUGGAAGGCUGAGAUGGACGUUCUCUUUUAUAAGACACGG
Long non-coding RNA from Lagopus leucura (white-tailed ptarmigan), 722 nucleotides. RefSeq lists it as uncharacterized. The transcript has 3 exons. NCBI's taxonomy places the organism in Eukaryota, Metazoa, Chordata, Aves, Galliformes, Phasianidae. The record is from RefSeq and is a predicted model, not a curated record.